CGCGACCCCAGGUCAGGCGGGAUUACCCGCUGA
Molecule: ribosomal RNA, 33 nt
Filed under: Coussarea macrophylla
Lineage: Eukaryota; Viridiplantae; Streptophyta; Magnoliopsida; Gentianales; Rubiaceae
Also listed under: 42 other names
Description: partial 26S ribosomal RNA
Source: RNAcentral